RNAcentral lists this ribosomal RNA (465 nucleotides) under uncultured bacterium. RNAcentral describes it as "partial 16S ribosomal RNA". It matches the Rfam family "Bacterial small subunit ribosomal RNA", at positions 339 to 795 of the family's 1533-position model. The record is from RNAcentral.
CUACGGGUCGCUGCAGUGGGGAAUAUUGGACAAUUGGGGAAACCCUGAUCCAGCAAUGCCGCGUGUGUGAAGAAGGCCUGCGGGUUGUAAAGCACUUUCGGUUGGGAGGACUGCUUCUAGCACUAAUAUUGUUGGAAGUUGACGUUACCUUCAGAAGAAGCACCGGCUAACUCCGUGCCAGCAGCCGCGGUAAUACGGAGGUUGCAAGCGUUAAUCGGAAUUACUGGGCGUAAAGCGCGCGUAGGCGGCUAGAUCAGUCGGGUGUGAAAGCCCCGGGCUUAACCUGGGAACUGCAUCCGAUACUGUCUAGCUUGAGUACAGGAGAGGAGAGUGGAAUUCCACAUGUAGCGGUGAAAUGCGUAGAUAUGUGGAGGAACACCAAUGGCGAAGGCAGCUCUCUGGCCUGAUACUGACGCUGAGGUGCGAAAGCGUGGGGAGCAAACAGGAUUAGAUACCCUAGUAGUC